Nicotiana tabacum (common tobacco) is the source of this 866-nucleotide non-coding RNA. The record is from RefSeq and is a predicted model, not a curated record. Lineage: Eukaryota; Viridiplantae; Streptophyta; Magnoliopsida; Solanales; Solanaceae.
GGGGGACUUUUCUUCUAGAUCACGAAAAGCACAAAACAGACCUUUCAACAAAAAACCAUAGACGUUUCCCCUUGAUCUUCACCAAAAAAAGUUGUUGCUCCUUCACCAAAAAAAAAAAGCUACACACUCUAAACAAAAAGAAAAGAAAGAAGCAACAGCUGCGAAAAUGGCAUUUGAGCUCAAAGUUGGACAAAAAUGGCAGAUUCAUUUUGUUGAUCGAAGUCGGCCGAAUUCCCCCAUUUUGAACCUAACGCCUCUACCCUAUCUCCAUAUUUGGACCGUCAUCUUUCCAUGAUUCUUCUUCUCCUAGCUUUUCCCAUUAUUAUCUUCAGGCCAUGGACCUAAAUCCUUAAAUUCCAACAGCCAUUUUUCCACAACACCUCACCCCUCUUCAAAAAUAGUCCACUUUUUCACAUAACGCAGCAGCAAUUUCGAGCUUGAGUUUCGUCGAAGUCGUCGAUGUAAUUUUGCGGUCGAUAGGUGGUCCGUUCGUUGGUUCCGUUCUUAGUCAAAUUAAUAUUGAAGGCGACAGUUUUCUCAUUUGAGAAUUGCGAGCAGAAGCAUAUUCCAUUGGAAUAGAACAAGAAUUGUCUUAAUAGGACUGGUGGAAGUGUGUACUACACAGACUAGAGUGUACUACACAAUUGAAUGUGGCACCACAUAAUUUAUGAAAUUGCAUAACUCAUAAUGUCGACACGUUGAAAUCAUUGAAAGAGCCAACAUUUUACAUCCCACAAAAGCAAAAUCUAGAGAACUCCAUCUUCGCUAACUUUCAGUAAACAAAAUCAGAAGUCAGAAGUGAUGAUGAUGGCCGCUACCACUGCUUCUGCUAAUUCACUGAGCUCUGCUUUUCUUCCCCGCCUAGG